Molecule: ribosomal RNA, 442 nt
Filed under: uncultured bacterium
Lineage: Bacteria
Description: partial 16S ribosomal RNA
Rfam family: Bacterial small subunit ribosomal RNA
Source: RNAcentral
CCUACGGGUGGCAGCAGUGGGGGAUAUUGCACAAUGGGGGAAACCCUGAUCCAGCGACGCCGCGUGGGCGAAGAAGUAUUUCGGUAUGUAAAGCCCUAUCAGCAGGGAAGAAGAAAUGCCGGUACUUGAGUAAGAAGCACCGGCUAACUACGUGCCAGUAGCCGGGGUAAUACGUAGGGUGCAAGCGUUAUCCGGAUUUCCUGGGUGUAAAGGGACCGCAGGCGGCACGGUAAUGCUGUUGUGAACGCGCGCGGGCCAACCGCGGGACUGCAUGGGGAACUCCGGGGCUUGAGUGCCGGAGAGGGAGGCGGAAGGCGUGGUGUAGCGGUGAAAUGCGUAGAUAUUAGGAAGAACACCAGUGGCGAAGGCAGCCUACUGGACGGCGACUGACGCUGAGGCACGAAAGCGUGGGGAGCAAACAGGAUUAGAUACCCGGGUAGUC